This 459-nucleotide ribosomal RNA is filed under the name uncultured bacterium. Its description in RNAcentral is "bacterial SSU rRNA". It matches the Rfam family "Bacterial small subunit ribosomal RNA", at positions 1 to 507 of the family's 1533-position model. The record is from RNAcentral.
ACGAUACGAGUUUGAUCAUGGCUCAGAACGAACGCUGGCGGCAUGCCUAACACAUGCAAGUCGAACGAAGGCUUCGGCCUUAGUGGCGCACGGGUGCGUAACGCGUGGGAAUCUGCCCUUGGGUUCGGAAUAACUCAGAGAAAUUUGAGCUAAUACCGGAUGAUGACGUAAGUCCAAAGAUUUAUCGCCCAAGGAUGAGCCCGCGUAAGAUUAGCUAGUUGGUGGGGUAAAGGCCUACCAAGGCGACGAUCUUUAGCUGGUCUGAGAGGAUGAUCAGCCACACUGGGACUGAGACACGGCCCAGACUCCUACGGGAGGCAGCAGUGGGGAAUAUUGGACAAUGGGCGAAAGCCUGAUCCAGCAAUGCCGCGUGAGUGAUGAAGGUCUUAGGGUUGUAAAGCUCUUUUACCAGGGAUGAUAAUGACAGUACCUGGAGAAUAAGCUCCGGCUAACUCCGUG